Molecule: ribosomal RNA, 253 nt
Filed under: uncultured prokaryote
Description: partial 16S ribosomal RNA
Rfam family: Bacterial small subunit ribosomal RNA
Source: RNAcentral
ACGAAGGGUGCAAGCGUUACUCGGAAUUACUGGGCGUAAAGCGUGCGUAGGUGGUUCGUUAAGUCUGAUGUGAAAGCCCUGGGCUCAACCUGGGAAUGGCAUUGGAUACUGGCGACCUAGAGUGCGGUAGAGGGGGGCGGAAUUCCCAGUGUAGCGGUGAAAUGCGUAGAUAUUGGGAGGAACACCAGUGGCGAAGGCGGUCCCCUGGGCCGGAACUGACGCUGAGGCGCGAAAGCGUGGGUAGCAAACGGGA